Micropterus dolomieu (smallmouth bass) is the source of this 1985-nucleotide long non-coding RNA. RefSeq lists it as uncharacterized. NCBI's taxonomy places the organism in Eukaryota, Metazoa, Chordata, Actinopteri, Centrarchiformes, Centrarchidae. The record is from RefSeq and is a predicted model, not a curated record. The transcript is spliced from 4 exons.
CAAAAAAAGGAGAAAUAAACAGGACACUCGCCCUCAGCUGGGUUGCCACCACAACAAUAAGCUGUCAUUAACUGCAUUGCACAUCACAUGGUUGUGCUCUGUAAAUUAAAAAUAAUGUUACAGCUUUAUUGUUGACCAUGUAACUUUACAGUAUUGUUUAGUUAACUUUACGCAGGGUUUGAAACUCAACAGGGUUUGUUGACUUACAGUAGUUUAUAAGCUGUCAUUAAUUGUAGAUGCAUUGUACAUUAGGCUACAUGGUUGUGCUCUGUAAGUUAAAAACAGACAGACUUAUUGUUAUGUCAUUACGCAACGUCACAGGUUUAUUGACUUACAUUAUCCAAUAAGCUGUCAUUAAUUGCAUUGCACAUGACAUGGUUGUGAUCUGUAAAUGAAAAACAGGUUAACAGUAUUCCUUAGAGCUAUGAAGUUUUAUUAGCAACCUGGAUUGAAUGCAGCAGGUGAUAAAACAUUCGUAAUAACCACGAGAGACUUGAGACCUGACUUGGACUCUAGCUCAAAGACUUGUGAGCAUCUCUGUCAAAACAUUGCCUUCAAUACAGUUUUAUUAGGAGUUGUUGAGACGGUGUGCAGAGCUUUGUCCUUUGUGUCCUGCAGUGAUAGUUUUUGUCUGUCACUCGAUUACUUUUGACUGGAUGUGCACACUUAGCCCCUCUGGAGGUUUUAUACCAAUAACAACCAUACAAAUAAUUGAAAACAUUUUGUAUAGAACCUUUUCACACAAAAAAUGUAGCUCAGAUCAAAUCACAGAUCACAAUUAUGUGAAAAGUAGUAAAACUUGUCAACAUAGAGUGUGUAAGAUUCUUAAUGCUAUUUAAUGCAGUGAAGGCUGCAUGUUUGCUAGUUGGCUUGCUACUGUUUAUUGUCAACAGCACUCUUUUUCAUGCACAGACAGACACAACAACAUACUAAGACACACUGUGAGGACAACAUUUACAGAGUUUUUGUUUUCUUUUAAUCACAAGGAGAAGGAGUUGAGGAGGACUCUUCAACUGAUGAGGUUCAUCCAGUAAGGUCAUGAAAGACGGGAAAUCCAGAGACCUGGAACGUUAACAUCCAGAAAAGUAGGAGAAUGAGGGGCCUGGAUUGAAGAAGGUGAGACAAAUGGGGACACCAUGCCAGUCCGCAACCUGCCAAAGGUUCCCUAAACUCCACUGCAGAAAAGCAGAAGACGCAUCAUAAGAACAAGAUUUCUAAGUAUUUCUAGGGGAAUUUGGACUGGAGAAAUGAUUGUGAAGUCUGCGGUGGAGGGGUGCAGUGUAAAGCGGCGCUGGACAGGAGCAGAUGAAUCCAGGAGGUGUAAAGGAGUGGUGUUUUUUGAAGUGGGCAGGAAGAAGAGGAGAAAGUCAUGAGAUGAUUGAGGACAGGAACAGAAGGAAAAGGUUCUUUAUUGUCACAUACACAUGGUGAAAUUCAUUCUCUGCAUUUAACACUCAUUGCCUCAAGAACCUAAUCUAAAAUGUUUUUCAUGGUGUGGAAAACUGGAGUGCCCACACAGGAAGGAGGAAACCCACACAGACACAGGGAGAACAUGCAUUCUCCACACAGAAAGGCCUGGGAUGACGGGUACGACAAUGAGACCUUCUUGCUGUGAGGCCACAGUGCUUUCCGUAGGCCUUCCAUAAGAUCUUUCUUCUGGACCCUUGGAAAUUUCUAUCGCACUUCUAAAGACCAGUGCGAUGGCUAUUGUUCAUUCAAGCCUGGAAACAGAAGCUGCUUCAUGGGACACAAAGGCUGUGAAGAAGGACAAAGAAGAUGCAGAUGAGAAGACCUUGGUGGCGCUCACUCCAAUUCCUCCGUGUGAGAUGACUGGGAAGACUCCAAUCAAUUGUCUCUCACAAAUAGUCUGACAGAUUCUUUAUCCUGGUUGUUCAUAAUUAUUAUAUAAUUAUAAUAAUUUAAUAUAAUUUGUGAUGAACUUUUGAAUGUUGUGUGAGUUACAGUAAAAUUAAUUUUAACCUUUA